CAGCCGCCGCGGGAAUACAGAGGAUGCAAGCGUUAUCCGGAAUGACUGGGCGUAAAGCGUCUGUAGGUGGCUUUUCAAGUCCGCCGUCAAAUCUCAGGGCUCAACCCUGGACAGGCGGUGGAAACUACCAAGCUGGAGUACGGUAGGGGCAGAGGGAAUUUCCAGUGGAGCGGUGAAAUGCGUUGAGAUCGAAAAGAACACCAACAGCGAAAGCACUCUGCUGGGACGACACUGACACUAAGAGACGAAAGCUAGGGGAGCAAAUGGGACUAGAUACCCGUGUAGUCCCUGUCUCUUAUAC
RNAcentral lists this ribosomal RNA (301 nucleotides) under uncultured bacterium. RNAcentral describes it as "partial 16S ribosomal RNA". It matches the Rfam family "Bacterial small subunit ribosomal RNA", at positions 509 to 807 of the family's 1533-position model. The record is from RNAcentral.